GAAUCUCUUCUAUCAAGAUGAAAACUACAAACGACUGUUUCCAUGAAAGUGAGAAUAAAGGGAUUAAUUACAUGGUCAACAGCUGGAAUUUACAAGGAGGCAAAUUAAAUAAAAUAGCAGACAAGCAUGAACUGCAUUCCCACAAAAGCCAUAAAAUGGGAAUACCAAGAGAACUGGCAAAUGUAAGUCUUCACCUGUUUUCUUGGACACAGCUUUCCACACACAAGUUGGGGAGUGGAAAUUUGUGAGUAGCACACUGUGUGCCACAUUGGAAAGAUUCAAUAUGAACAU
This 291-nucleotide long non-coding RNA is filed under the name Homo sapiens (human). RNAcentral describes it as "HSALNT0094230". Lineage: Eukaryota; Metazoa; Chordata; Mammalia; Primates; Hominidae. The record is from RNAcentral.